This 445-nucleotide ribosomal RNA is filed under the name uncultured bacterium. Its description in RNAcentral is "partial 16S ribosomal RNA". It matches the Rfam family "Bacterial small subunit ribosomal RNA", at positions 354 to 796 of the family's 1533-position model. The record is from RNAcentral.
GUGAGGAAUAUUGGUCAAUGGACGGAAGUCUGAACCAGCCAAGUAGCGUGCAGGAUGACGGCCCUAUGGGUUGUAAACUGCUUUUAUGCGGGGGUAAAGUGAGUGACGUGUCAUUCAUUGCAAGUACCGCAAGAAUAAGGACCGGCUAAUUCCGUGCCAGCAGCCGCGGUAAUACGGAAGGUCCUGGUGUUAUCCGGAUUUAUUGGGUGUAAAGGGAGCGUAGGCCGUCAGGCAAGCGUGUUGUGAAAUGUCGUGGCUCAACCAUGGACUUGCAGCGCGAACUGCCCGACUUGAGUGCGCAGAAAGCAGGCGGAAUUUGUGGUGUAGCGGUGAAAUGCUUAGAUAUCACGAAGAACCCCGAUUGCGAAGGCAGCCUGCUGUAGCGCUACUGACGCUGAAGCUCGAAAGUGCGGGUAUCGAACAGGAUUAGAAACCCUGGUAGUCC